ACAACAUGGAGAAAGAGGGUCUGAGGAGGAGCCUUGAUCUCUUGAGGGCACACGGUGUGACUUUUGACAGCAUUGUUACAGACCGCCACCCUCAAAUACAAAAAUACCUGCGGGAGGCCAACAUCACACAGUAUUACGAUGUAUGGCACAUUGAAAAAGGUAUUAGCUCCUGUGUGGGUAUGUGUUGUUUAUGUGCCUAAUGACUGUCAUAGUCUCACAGACUGGUUAUAUUAAACAGAUCAGUAAAAUUUGAUUACAAAACAUUAUGAUACAAAAUCAUACCUUUGACCAGAACUUUUUUAUUUUGUGUUCAAUAAACACACUGUAUCUUUCUGCAUGGCUGAAUUAAAGUUUUUUUUUUUUUUUUUAUAUUAUUAGGAGUAUCAAAGAAACUGCUGAGGAUUGCUCAGAACAAAGACAGUGAAAAACUGCAGUGGUAUCGCAGUAUAAAAAACCACAUAUAUUGGACAGCGGCUUCUUCUUCAUCAGGGCCAGAGCGAGUGGCAAAGUGGACGUCAAUUCUUAAUCAUAUCCAAGACAUGCACACACAUGAUGAUCCCGUUUUCCCACGAUGUUUGCAUCCGCAACGCACUACAACGGACAAGAGCAAGUGGUUGAGAGCGGGAACAACUGCCUUCUCUCGAUUAGAGAAGAUCCUCAGAAACAAGAGGAUUCUGAAGGAUGUUGAAAAACUGAGCCCUCACCAUCAGACUUCAUCACUGGAGGCGUUCCACAGCGUAAUUCUGCACUUUGCGCCAAAGAAUGUUGUCUUUUCUUUCCUGGGAAUGUUAUGCAGACUCUACCUGGCAGCCCUACAUUUUAAUGAGAAUGCUGGGCGUCCCCAAGCCACGACAGCAGCUGGAGAGCCACUAUUUAAGGUGGUUUUCCCAAAAUACAAGAAAGGACAAUGCUCUGCUAAGCCAGUGAAAGUAGGACCAACCUUCCAGUACAUGGACAACCUGUUGGAACUUAUCUUUGAGAACAUUGUUGUGGACCCAACCCCUUAUAUGGACGAUAUCCUGAAGAUCUCCAUACCUGAGGAUCUCACGUCCCAGUUUGACAAACCAGACAAACAGGAAGUGAUAGACAGCUACGUGUCUAGGUUUAAUCAAGGGCAGGUCUGAACCCUACAUAUUGUCCCUGAAAAAAAGCUUUUCAUGACCAUUAGCUGUAACAUCAAUCUGUCAAUGAACUAACGUAUACAUCAGUAAACACAUAGCAUUCGUAUCUCACUACGCUACCCUGCCAGUACAUACAAAGAUAGAUCAAAGUGACAUUACGUUAACCAACCAUUCAGAAACUUCCUGUUCGAGCCUUAAUUGGCAAACUUCGUCGGGGCCGUCAUCUUGUUCCGGGUCUGACUCCGGUUCAAAUUGAUAUGGUUGCACUUGCGCAGAUGUGUCCUCAGAGACUCCCGCUGCCAUUCUUUCUCCGAAAUAUACCCUCAGCUGUUGUCAAGGCAACACUCCACGUGUGUUGUGUCAAAACGCCCCACAGAACAGAGGGGUGGGGUGAGCAAAGCUCAUUAUCAUUUAAAGACACAUGCACUGAAAUGGCUUGCUGAAAACAGAGCUGUUUUAGACCAGGUAAAAUGAGUGUUUCUUACAAUACUAAUGAGAAUUUUUAAUUAAAGUAUAUUACAAACUUUUCAUUUAGACCCUGAAGAAUCAUAUUAACUUGUACAAAAAUGGCAUUAUAUGACCCCUUUAAGAACAAAUUUGUGUGCGUUGACACAAGAUUUUUUUUUUUUUUUUUUUUCUCGAAAACGUUUCCUGUGCAUACAAAUAUGAAAUAAUUAAUGCUAUAAUUAAUAAAUGAUAAAUGAAAUAAUCACUGAUAAGCUUUGGCAUGAUAUGUUCUUCAUAAGUGUCAUAGGCUGGUUGCAGAUUAUAACUUUCCAUCUGUGGCUCUUUAUUCUUCUGGAGACUGUUCCUUUGACGUAGUCACAUGCCUCUCAUGACCCUAAACAACCCUUGCAACCACACCAUUAGACAGAACACAUCUGAGAUUUUGAUCUUUGAUGGGUCAGUCAGUUUAUUUAUUUUAUUUCCCCCCUGAAAACUGUAUUCUAAAACUGGCAGAAUUUCUCUCUCCUCUUUGCCCUACCAUGAGAUGCUUAGGUUAACUCUGUGACAGCAUCAAAAAAGCAUCCUUCAUGCCUGGAUAGACUACAACAAGCAAUCAUUCAGUAAAUGUGCCACAGAGAAGGGCGGGAAAAUGUUCACUGGAUUAAGCAGGCAAAAGCAAUGACUGUCAACUGGCAUGUGACAAGUUUGAAAGGAGACUUCGGCUAUGUUUUGACUGCAGGCAAAUCUGAUUUGUUCCCCUCUCAAAUCAGAU
Ctenopharyngodon idella (grass carp) is the source of this 2340-nucleotide long non-coding RNA. RefSeq lists it as uncharacterized. Lineage: Eukaryota; Metazoa; Chordata; Actinopteri; Cypriniformes; Xenocyprididae. The transcript is spliced from 4 exons. The record is from RefSeq and is a predicted model, not a curated record.